This 72-nucleotide transfer RNA is filed under the name Candidatus Brennerbacteria bacterium RIFOXYB1_FULL_41_13. Its description in RNAcentral is "tRNA-Arg". It matches the Rfam family "tRNA". Rfam says of the family: Transfer RNA (tRNA) molecules are approximately 80 nucleotides in length. Their secondary structure includes four short double-helical elements and three loops (D, anti-codon, and T loops). The record is from RNAcentral. Lineage: Bacteria; Candidatus Brenneribacteriota. RNAcentral also lists the same sequence under 2 other names.
GCCCCCAUAGCUCAAUGGACAGAGCGUUGGUCUUCGGAACCAAAGAUCGGGGUUCGAUCCCUCGUGGGGGUA